AUACGGAGGAUCCGAGCGUUAUCCGGAUUUAUUGGGUUUAAAGGGUGCGCAGGCGGCCAUUUAAGUCAGCGGUUAAAUCGUGGGGCUCAACCCCAUUCUGCCGUUGAUACUGGGUGGCUUGAUUGCGGUCGAGGUUGGCGGAAUUCGUUGUGUAGCGGUGAAAUUCAUAGAUAUGACGAAGAACACCGAGUGCGUAGGCAGCUGACCAGGCCGCAAAUGACGCUCAUGCACGAAAGUGCGGGGAUCGAACAGGAUUAGAUACCCUGGUAGUCCGCACAGUAAACGAUGAAUACUUGUUUUCGGCGAUAUAAUGUCGGAGGCAAAGCGAAAGCGAUAAGUAUUCCACCUGGGGAGUACGCCGGCAACGGUGAAACUCAAAUGAAUUGACGGGG
RNAcentral lists this ribosomal RNA (392 nucleotides) under uncultured bacterium. Its description in RNAcentral is "partial 16S ribosomal RNA". It matches the Rfam family "Bacterial small subunit ribosomal RNA", at positions 523 to 918 of the family's 1533-position model. The record is from RNAcentral.